AUGGCUCAGUGGUUAAGAGCACUUGCUAUUCUUCCAGGGGACCUGGGUUCAAUUCCCAGU
Molecule: transfer RNA, 60 nt
Filed under: Cricetulus griseus (Chinese hamster)
Lineage: Eukaryota; Metazoa; Chordata; Mammalia; Rodentia; Cricetidae
Source: Rfam by way of RNAcentral